Molecule: non-coding RNA, 73 nt
Organism: Stegodyphus mimosarum
Lineage: Eukaryota; Metazoa; Arthropoda; Arachnida; Araneae; Eresidae
Source: Rfam
GCCUUCGUGGUGUAAUGGUUUGCAUGCUCGGUGGGUAUUCGAGAGGUUCGUGGUUCGAGUCCCGGCGAGGACA